GAUGAACGCUGGCGGCGUGCUUAACACAUGCAAGUCGAACGAAGCACUCUAUCUGAUUUUCUUCGGAAAUGAAGAUUUUGUGACUGAGUGGCGGACGAGUGAGUAACGCGUGGGUAACCUGCCUCAUACAGGGGGAUAACAGUUGGAAACGACUGCUAAUACCGCAUAAGCGCACAGUAUCGCAUGAUACAGUGUGAAAAACUCCGGUGGUAUGAGAUGGACCCGCGUCUGAUUAGCUAGUUGGUGGGGCAACGGCCUACCAAGGCGACGAUCAGUAGCCGACCUGAGAGGGUGACCGGCCACAUUGGGACUGAGACACGGCCCAAACUCCUACGGGAGGCAGCAGUGGGGAAUAUUGCACAAUGGGGGAAACCCUGAUGCAGCGACGCCGCGUGAACGAAGAAGUAUUUCGGUAUGUAAAGUUCUAUCAGCAGGGAAGAUAAUGACGGUACCUGACUAAGAAGCACCGGCUAAAUACGUGCCAGCCGCCGCCGUAA
RNAcentral lists this ribosomal RNA (497 nucleotides) under uncultured bacterium. RNAcentral describes it as "partial 16S ribosomal RNA". It matches the Rfam family "Bacterial small subunit ribosomal RNA", at positions 28 to 523 of the family's 1533-position model. The record is from RNAcentral.